RNAcentral lists this ribosomal RNA (523 nucleotides) under Clostridioides difficile. Its description in RNAcentral is "bacterial SSU rRNA". It matches the Rfam family "Bacterial small subunit ribosomal RNA", at positions 1 to 551 of the family's 1533-position model. Lineage: Bacteria; Bacillati; Bacillota; Clostridia; Peptostreptococcales; Peptostreptococcaceae. The record is from RNAcentral.
UUAUUUGAGAGUUUGAUCCUGGCUCAGGAUGAACGCUGGCGGCGUGCCUAACACAUGCAAGUUGAGCGAUUUACUUCGGUAAAGAGCGGCGGACGGGUGAGUAACGCGUGGGUAACCUACCCUGUACACACGGAUAACAUACCGAAAGGUAUGCUAAUACGGGAUAAUAUAUCUGAGAGGCAUCUCUUGAAUAUCAAAGGUGAGCCAGUACAGGAUGGACCCGCGUCUGAUUAGCUAGUUGGUAAGGUAACGGCUUACCAAGGCGACGAUCAGUAGCCGACCUGAGAGGGUGAUCGGCCACAUUGGAACUGAGACACGGUCCAAACUCCUACGGGAGGCAGCAGUGGGGAAUAUUGCACAAUGGGCGAAAGCCUGAUGCAGCAACGCCGCGUGAGUGAUGAAGGCCUUCGGGUCGUAAAACUCUGUCCUCAAGGAAGAUAAUGACGGUACUUGAGGAGGAAGCCCCGGCUAACUACGUGCCAGCAGCCGCGGUAAUACGUAGGGGGCUAGCGUUAUCCGGAUU